This 294-nucleotide ribosomal RNA is filed under the name uncultured Pelotomaculum sp. Its description in RNAcentral is "partial 16S ribosomal RNA". It matches the Rfam family "Bacterial small subunit ribosomal RNA", at positions 1089 to 1382 of the family's 1533-position model. Lineage: Bacteria; Bacillati; Bacillota; Clostridia; Eubacteriales; Desulfotomaculaceae. The record is from RNAcentral.
GCAACGAGCGCAACCCCUACGUUUAGUUGCUAACGCGUGAAGGCGAGCACUCUAGACGAACUGCCGUUGACAAAACGGAGGAAGGUGGGGAUGACGUCAAAUCAUCAUGCCCCUUAUGUUCUGGGCUACACACGUGCUACAAUGGCCGGUACAGACGGACGCAAAGCCGCGAGGUGGAGCAAAUCCUAAAAAGCCGGUCUCAGUUCGGAUUGCAGGCUGCAAUUCGCCUGCAUGAAGUCGGAAUCGCUAGUAAUCGCAGGUCAGCAUACUGCGGUGAAUACGUUCCCGGGCCUU